UUAAAUUGAAGAGUUUGAUCAUGGCUCAGAUUGAACGCUGGCGGCAGGCCUAACACAUGCAAGUCGAACGGUAACAGGAAGCAGCUUGCUGCUUCGCUGACGAGUGGCGGACGGGUGAGUAAUGUCUGGGAAACUGCCUGAUGGAGGGGGAUAACUACUGGAAACGGUAGCUAAUACCGCAUAACGUCGCAAGACCAAAGAGGGGGACCUUCGGGCCUCUUGCCAUCGGAUGUGCCCAGAUGGGAUUAGCUAGUAGGUGGGGUAACGGCUCACCUAGGCGACGAUCCCUAGCUGGUCUGAGAGGAUGACCAGCCACACUGGAACUGAGACACGGUCCAGACUCCUACGGGAGGCAGCAGUGGGGAAUAUUGCACAAUGGGCGCAAGCCUGAUGCAGCCAUGCCGCGUGUAUGAAGAAGGCCUUCGGGUUGUAAAGUACUUUCAGCGGGGAGGAAGGGAGUAAAGUUAAUACCUUU
This 475-nucleotide ribosomal RNA is filed under the name Escherichia coli. RNAcentral describes it as "bacterial SSU rRNA". It matches the Rfam family "Bacterial small subunit ribosomal RNA", at positions 1 to 470 of the family's 1533-position model. The record is from RNAcentral. Lineage: Bacteria; Pseudomonadati; Pseudomonadota; Gammaproteobacteria; Enterobacterales; Enterobacteriaceae.